This 460-nucleotide ribosomal RNA is filed under the name uncultured bacterium. RNAcentral's name for it is "partial 16S ribosomal RNA". It matches the Rfam family "Bacterial small subunit ribosomal RNA", at positions 338 to 795 of the family's 1533-position model. The record is from RNAcentral.
CCUACGGGAGGCAGCAGUGAGGAAUAUUGGUCAAUGGGCGCGAGCCUGAACCAGCCAAGUCGCGUGAAGGAUGACUGCCCUACGGGUUGUAAACUUCUUUUAUAAAGGAAUAAAGUGAGGCACGUGUGCCUUUUUGUAUGUACUUUAUGAAUAAGGAUCGGCUACCUCCGGGCCAGCAGCCGCGUUAAUACGGAGGAUCCGAGCGUUAUCCGGAUUUAUUGGGUUUAAAGGGAGCGUAGAUGGGUUGUUAAGUCAGUGGUGAAAGUUGGCGGCUAAACCGUAAAAUUGCAAUUGAUACUGGCAGCCUUGAGUACAGUUGAGGUAGGCGGAAUGCGUGGUGUAGCGGUGAAAUGCUUAGAUAGCACGAAGAACUCCGAUUGCGAAGGCAGCCUACCAAACUGCCACUGACAUUGAUGCUCGAAAGUGUGGGUAUCAAACAGGAUUAGAUACCCGAGUAGUC